GAUGAACGCUGGCGGCGUGCCUAAUACAUGCAAGUCGAGCGAACGGACGAGAAGCUUGCUUCUCUGAUGUUAGCGGCGGACGGGUGAGUAACACGUGGUUAACCUACCUAUAAGACUGGGAUAACUUCGGGAAACCGUAGCUAAUACCGGAUAAUAUUUUGAACCGCAUGGUUCAAAAGUGAAAGACGGUCUUGCUGUCACUUAUAGAUGGAUCCGCGCUGCAUUAGCUAGUUGGUAAGGUAACGGCUUACCAAGGCAACGAUGCAUAGCCGACCUGAGAGGGUGAUCGGCCACACUGGAACUGAGACACGGUCCAGACUCCUACGGGAGGCAGCAGUAGGGAAUCUUCCGCAAUGGGCGAAAGCCUGACGGAGCAACGCCGCGUGAGUGAUGAAGGUCUUCGGAUCGUAAAACUCUGUUAUUAGGGAAGAACAUAUGCGUAAGUAACUGUGCACAUCUUGACGGUACCUAAUCAGAAAGCCACGGCUAACUACGUG
RNAcentral lists this ribosomal RNA (497 nucleotides) under uncultured bacterium. Its description in RNAcentral is "partial 16S ribosomal RNA". It matches the Rfam family "Bacterial small subunit ribosomal RNA", at positions 28 to 507 of the family's 1533-position model. The record is from RNAcentral.